UCUUAUGAAAGCUGCCAUACAAGCCAUGUAUAAACACACUGGGAUGCUCCAGGCAGGAGAAUCUAUCACUCAGCCCUGAAGCAAAUCUCUGUGCUUCUCUUACAAAAACAGCUAUAACUCUCAGAAACUCGACAGUCUUUCCAGUUUAGGACAAGCAUUUGCUCGGAGGAGGAACGUUUGCAGUUGCUGCUCCCCCACCCCGCUCGGCGGCGUGCGGCUGCUGCGGGGUUUGCAGCGCGGCGCCAUGUGACUGGGAGCAGCACGCCAGCAACAAAAACCAGCUCCCGAUCAGCUGCGGGACUGGCUGGAAGCCCCCGGUGUUUCCAUAUUCCAAGUGAGCAAAGCCAGCGUUUGCACGCUGAGAGCGCUCAGCAAUCAGAUACCCUCUGAGAGGGCAGGCUGUCCUGCAGCACGGGGCCGGGAAAAGCCCUGAGCCCAGCAAAAACAGUGGAUGUGACAGAGAACCAAAUCGGGAGCGCUAAUGAAGUGAGCCCAGCAUUACGCUAGCUGGCUCGAUGGUUCCUCUGCUUUAAUUUAUCUGUCUUUGCCAUCCGCUUUCAAAGCAAGCCGAAGGAAGAGGCAGUUCCUUUGUUAGUGUACCAGCGUCGUGUGGGACAUCGGGAGCACGGGACGCAGGCUGGUGAUGGGUGAGCAGCAGCGGGAGAGGGCACCCUUCCCAAAACCCUGCGCUGCUGCCAGCCUCUCCCAGCCCCUUCGAUACCGGGUGUAACACUGUAAGAAUUUGAUUUAGCACAAGGAGCCGCAGUGGUGGUGCUGUGGGGUGCUGCGCAAAGAGUCAAGGAGAUACUACAUCAACGCUAUGCAUUACCACCGAAACAGUGCCCCAGGAAAUUUAAGUAUAAGCAGGCAGAAUGUUGUUCUAAUUGUUAUGUUAGUACCUUCUGCAGCAAAUUAAUGCAUGAAACAUUUUCAUUUCGGUACAUAAGUUUGUGUGUGUCUGAGUUAAACAUUUAUGUUAAUGGACCUUCUGGCAGAUCUGUAAUGUUUCAAAUACUCUUGUAGAACAGCUUUUUCUAAAUACAUCAUUUAGCAGUUCUUUCCCCAUUUUCUACCUGAUCUGGGGGCAUGCAGAAAGGGAAACUAUUUCACAGUUUUAAAAACCUCCUGCUUGAGUAACUACAAAACUAAGCUGCAUUCAGGCAAGGUAGCAAUUAAGCCUGCACUGCCACUAGCAAUGUAAACUGUAUUAAAAAAAAAAAAAAAUUAAAUAAAAGGCACACUAAUAGCCAGCAUAUGCUCUGAUCAUAACACCCUGCAUCAGCAUGCUGCACUCCCCUGCUGCUGCGUGCGCUGCGCCCCAUGCCCACACCCCACAAUCCGUGCCAACCCCAUGCACCCUGGGCUGCGCAGGGCUGGUGGCCACCCUCCCCGUGGCACAGCUCCUGGACACUGCCACUGUGCCGGCCGCCCUAAAAACCCUGCCUUGAU
Long non-coding RNA from Anas platyrhynchos (mallard), 1449 nucleotides. RefSeq lists it as uncharacterized. NCBI's taxonomy places the organism in Eukaryota, Metazoa, Chordata, Aves, Anseriformes, Anatidae. The record is from RefSeq and is a predicted model, not a curated record.